UAGGAUAAAAUUGUAACUUUGAUCUAAUUAAUUAAAUAGAUAAUUAAUUAAAAUUGUCUAAAAUUUAUAUGACUUGUUUAUUAAAUUUAUGGACUAUAGUUAUAAUUUAUUUAUUUAUUUUUUAAAAUAAAUAAAUAAAUAUUAUUAUAUUAAAAAUUUAACAUUUCAGUGUAAAAGUUCAUAUUAUGAGAGCUUGUGUUUUCUGAGUAGAGAAACACUUUCGAGAGCCUCAAGUGUUUUUGUAAGAAAGGUAAAUAGUUAGCACUCAAACAUUUCCCUUCUCAAACUUUUAAAACGGUUUUGAGAUUUUUUUAUUUUUUUAACAUUUUGGAUAUCGUUAGAGAUCGAACACUUAGAUGAUUUGUGUUUUCCGACAAAUCCAACAAAAAAUAAUGAUCUCAUAUUUUUACUGCAGAAAAAACGUAAUUCAUGUUAGUGAAAAAUUUAUUUUUCUAUUUCUUCUGCUGUAUUCAAUCCGAUUCAAACCCAACAUCAAUUACAUCCCUCAAAAUAAUUUUCUUUUGAUAUGCUAUGUAAAUUCUUAAUUGGCUGCAUUUUGUAAUAUUUUAUUUUAAGAAAUGUCAAAAUUGAUCAUUUUCUGAGCAUCUACCUAAUGCAGCAAGGUGGGUGAAGCUUCCCCGACCGACGAGACUCAUCAACAGACCACAGACACAUAAUCCUAGCCAGACAUUUCCUUUCUCUAAGAUCUAAUAACAACGCUCACUUUUUCGUCUUCAUGCUUAGAUCCUCUCGCAGAUGACAGAUUGAUAGUUUGCAUGUAGCAAGGUUUCCUUUUUCUUCCAAAUAUUCAAUGUCUAAAAAUAAUUUUGAUAUGAAUUAAUAUUGUCAAUAUGAGUUUUUUGUCUAGAAAGGCAAAAACCAACAAUUUAAUACAAUUACAAAAGGAAAACACCUUAUGGGAUCUAUCAGCACAUCAUCAAAAGCAUGUGUUUGAUCAAAGGACACAAGCAAAAAGAAUCACGAGCGAGAAUCUAAUAGGAAAAAAAAAAUCUUUGGUAAGUGUUAACUGAUGUGGCUUGAAUUUUGGAUAUGAUUUCCUAAAAGUUCCGCAAGCUGAAAAGAGUGUGUUUUGUGAGAUUACGGUGAGCUCUGAGGUCGGGCAGCUCAUAAUCUUACAGCAACCUCUAGAAGAGAAAAACAAAAUAAAGAAAAAAGCAAACAAUUGAUGGUGGACGAAAAGAUCAAAAUCAGACUGCAUGGCCACCGUCGCAGGAGCAGCCACCAGAGCCGCUGUUGAUCUCUCCGGGUUGGCGUAGUUUAGCGCUGAGACAGUAACACAUGAGACCUAUCAAUAGCAUGAAACCGCAAGCUGAGGCUAUAGCUUCUAACCAUUUCAUGUUAUGCUUUGUCUGCACAGAAUUGCUGCUCAUCACAAAAUGGCUUUGUUAUCGUAUAUCUGCGUUUUAGCCAAAAGGAAAUUAAUGUGGUGCAUAUGGUCUGAGCUUGAAAGAGGCCAAAAUAACGUGGACCAGCCUGUAAAUAUUAAAUACCUACAUUUGAUGAAAGUUCUCUCUUUUAAAGCCACACAUUUUUUAUUAAGAAAAAUUACUAUUUAGUCCAUGGCAAUAUGGGAAAACUUAUUAGUU
This 1607-nucleotide long non-coding RNA is filed under the name Manihot esculenta (cassava). Its description in RNAcentral is "long non-coding RNA (MESC_LNC005589)". The record is from RNAcentral. Lineage: Eukaryota; Viridiplantae; Streptophyta; Magnoliopsida; Malpighiales; Euphorbiaceae.